CAUGGUGCUGCUGAAAGAGCUGUUGCAACUGCCAGUGGAGCAUAUGUAUAAGGGUUAAUGUGCCGUGGUUAUAUCACUGACAGUCUCUGAGUAGUUAAAUUCAGUUCAGGGCUCAAGUGGAGAGACCUAAGGUUCCCUAUGUUCUGUAAAAUGCUCCCUGUUCAUGUUUGCUAACCUUUUAAUUAGAGAACGAAAUAGAGAAAGUCGUAAGAGGUAACUGUCUUGAAAUGCAAAAUGCUCAGUAGAGCUUUAUUUUAACAAGGUUCCUAUUCCCAGUCUCUUUAACUACAAAGCCCCUAUAAGGGAGUCAGCUCAUGAAUCAGUCUUCAUUAAGACGUUUAUUAAAACUGGCAGUAACUGCCCUCUAAAAAAGAAGAAAUUAGUUGUGUUGGGCAGAACAGGAUUUGUUGGGAUUUUUUUCUUCUCAUUUAAAUCCAGUUCUGUGCCCUCAAAAACAAAACAAGCAGAGCACCUGGAGUAGUGAGAUUAGAGAAGAGUACUGUCACAGUUUGUCAGCUCCUUGGUGAAGCUGGCCUGACCUUGCAGCCUUGUUGCUUAAGGAUAGAGAGCAAAAUGCGUGUAAUCAGCUGCUGAGAAACUUGGCUGACUUUAGCUGACUCUGGUCACGAGUGUGUGCCAGUAGGGUAAAUGAGACAAAUUGUCUAUCUACAGAUUUUUCUCUUAUUUUCUGACCCAUAGGACAACUUUUUGCAGGUGAUAUAGGAAGUCCUGUCUGUUUUCUAGAAUAUUCUGGGCCUCUGAAGGAAAUUGAGGAAUAGAAGGUGUGAGCCAAAAGCUUUCUUCUGUCUGUCCACCAUCACCUCAGCCCACUAUCAGAAGCAGAGCUAUUUCUUUAGCUCUCAUUCCUGACACGUUGUUGACCUUUGGUCUUGGAUGGCAGUCAAUUGUUAGACAUGUUUUCAAGGCUGCCAGUGUAUUGUCAACAGGCCUCUAGGUUAUGAGAUUUGGUUUAUACCAGAGGGCAGAAUGUGUGCAUCAACCCAACAUUAGUUUCUUCUGAGAUUGUGCCUAUAGCAACAUAUUUGUGAGUGGAAAUCAGCUGGACUACCACUGCUUUUUGGGUCAAGGCCUUUAGUAUUCCAGCUCAGUGUCAUGGCACUGAAGUAGGCUGGGCUUAGCUGCCAUGGUCUAUCUGAAAAAAAUGAUUCCACUGCUGUAUGAUCUAUGCUGCUAAGCACAAGCACAGAUAUGUGGCUGUAUUCAUACCACAUAGCCACACAGUAUCAAAGGAUGCAGAGACUUGGACUCAUUUUGUGAAAGGAUGUAUUUGUCAUGAAAAGCUAUUUUUUAUCUCAACUUCAGCUUGAUUAACUUGUCUCUGUAAUAUUCCAGCUGAAGAUCUUGACCAAGCUUAUUACAAAACUCAAAUGGAUAGACCAGUUUUAUAUCAGAAAGUAACAUUUAUCAUUUUCACUAGAGACUAGUAUUUACAUUAUUUAAAAUGUAAAAACUGUGUCUUCCCCAAGCAGACCUCUGAGGAACAUUUUCAGCUUCUUCCUAUAAGUAAGCACGUGUUCCUUCUUUGGCCCAAAAAGUGAUAAUGAAGUGAUUAAAAGGUGGUAGUUUUCUACCAGAGAAGGAUAAAAUACAGCAUUGGCAUAUAUUCCAGCCACUAAUAAAAAGCAGGGUGAAGGUUAUAAGGUCAUUUAAACAUUUGCACCAGAACACAAUAGCUCAGAAGAGUGGGAGGAUUUUCUGCCUGAUUUACUCAAACUAUGUCAGGAUGAGGAAGUGCUGUAUUUAGUAGCUCUUCUCUUUAAACUCCAGUAUAGCUAUUUCCUGGCACACUGCAUUGAUCUUCCUCUCAUCAUCUUGUAAUAAUUGUAAGGGCAGGGCCGAAUGUAAUCUCAUGUAUUCCAUGCCUUAGCUGUGACAGUAUUUUAGACAACUGUCCUCACCUUUUCAGCAAAACUACCAGUGAGGUCCUUGCAGGAAGUGUUCAUAUACUUGCGCACUUGAAUAUUCCCCUUUUGGUAGACACUGUUGGUUUUGCACUUUGUCUGUUUCAUUCCAUUAUUUGAGGAGACUUAUAAUGCUAAUUUUGCUCUGUGUGGCAGCCCCUUUUUGCUUGCCUUCAUCCAGAUAAUGAACUGUGGAAAGGCCAUUGUGCUUGAAAGCUGCUCUGUUUUUUUCCCUGGUAAUGCGAAGUAUUCUGUCUCCUAACAAGCCUUGCAUCUGUUGCUUUCUUACAUCACCUUGUUUGCACUUUACAAUGGGAUAAAUGUCCAUGUUGUCAUUCAAACUAUUAAUUAAAAUGAAGGCUAGACCUUGCAGAAUAUUCUACCAGCAGCACAUUCUUCCAACCUGACAGCAAAUCAAUUGUGCAUCAGCUUCCAUACUUGACAAAACAAAAUAAAUGUUUUCCAAAAGCGUUUUUGUGGUAGCUUCUACAAACAUACUGAUGGCUAUAGCUACUACUGUUAACUGGGAAAUCUUGAAGUUCCCUCAAAGAAACAAUAUUUACUGACCUUUUAAGGAACCUGUGAGAGGCAAUGGCUUCCCUUAAGAUGAUAGGAGAGAACAUCAGCAGUGUUUUAUUGCCAUAACUGCUGGAUAUCCACAAUAGCUGAGAUCCUUCUCCUAUCAGGAUUGUCCUCCUGGCAGAAGGUCACAGCUACAGACUCAAUUUACCUUGGUGUGGAAUGUUUGCAAAAAGAAGAAGGUCUGUAGUUGCUUUCAAAUCUAAACAGCAGUCAACUUUAUUGGACAUAUCCUGACAGCAGAACAUGGUGUCUGACAGGUCAUAUUAUAUGCCUCAGAGCUGUCAGUAUCCUUGAAC
Taeniopygia guttata (zebra finch) is the source of this 2800-nucleotide non-coding RNA. The record is from RefSeq and is a predicted model, not a curated record. Lineage: Eukaryota; Metazoa; Chordata; Aves; Passeriformes; Estrildidae.